This 367-nucleotide long non-coding RNA is filed under the name Carica papaya (papaya). RNAcentral describes it as "long non-coding RNA (CPAP_LNC007865)". The record is from RNAcentral. Lineage: Eukaryota; Viridiplantae; Streptophyta; Magnoliopsida; Brassicales; Caricaceae.
CAUAUCUGGCACCCUUAUGCCUUAAUUAGCAUUUGGGAUGUCACAACAGGACAUGAAGUUCUUUUAGGUGCUUGUAUGGGUUUUCAUUCUCUAAACCUUUAAACUUCAUAAGGAAGUGAAUUAGGCUAGAUUUCAGCUCGAAAGUUACGUUCAAAUAUGGACAUAUGAUGCAGAGGGCUACUCGUUGGUAGGCGAUGCUCCCAGCUCCCUUAAUGUGCAUUCUUCGACAAAUUGCUUGAUUUCUACUUUAGUUUCAAUGGCUACACUGCUAUCUGCAAAAAUUAUGUAUUGUUAAUACGUUCUUCUCUUUACUUGGGUCUAUUUCUUUAAACUUUUUGUGAUUUUCUUGAUUUUUUAAUAAUAAAAA